CACGUAGGGCGCAAGCGUUGUCCGGAAUUAUUGGGCGUAAAGAGCUCGUAGGUGGUUUGUUACGUCUGCUGUGAAAUCCUAGGGCUUAACCCUGGGCUUGCAGUGGAUACGGGCAGACUAGAGGUAGGUAGGGGAGAAUGGAAUUCCUGGUGUAGCGGUGAAAUGCGCAGAUAUCAGGAGGAACACCGGUGGCGAAGGCGGGUCUCUGGAACGCAACUGACGCUGAGACGCGAAAGCGUGGGGAGCAAACAGG
This 253-nucleotide ribosomal RNA is filed under the name uncultured bacterium. Its description in RNAcentral is "partial 16S ribosomal RNA". It matches the Rfam family "Bacterial small subunit ribosomal RNA", at positions 524 to 776 of the family's 1533-position model. The record is from RNAcentral.